UAAGGAAUAUUGGACAAUGGACGCAAGUCUGAUCCAGCCAUGCCGCGUGAAGGAUGAAUGCCCUCUGGGUUGUAAACUUCUUUUAUAGGGGAAGAAAGAUACUUUUUUUAAGGUAGUUGACGGUACCCUAUGAAUAAGCACCGGCUAACUCCGUGCCAGCAGCCGCGGUAAUACGGAGGGUGCAAGCGUUAUCCGGAUUUACUGGGUUUAAAGGGUGCGUAGGCGGGCAUGUAAGUCAGUGGUGAAAUACCGGAGCUUAACUUCGGAACUGCCAUUGAUACUAGAUGUCUUGAAUAUUGUGGAUGUAAGCGGAAUAUGGCAUGUAGCGGUGAAAUGCAUAGAUAUGACAUAGAACACCGAUUGCGGAGGCAGCUUGCUACGCAAAUAUUGACGCUGAGGCACGAAAGCGUGGGGAUCAAACA
Molecule: ribosomal RNA, 422 nt
Filed under: uncultured bacterium
Lineage: Bacteria
Description: bacterial SSU rRNA
Rfam family: Bacterial small subunit ribosomal RNA
Source: RNAcentral